This 502-nucleotide ribosomal RNA is filed under the name Corallococcus macrosporus. RNAcentral's name for it is "bacterial SSU rRNA". It matches the Rfam family "Bacterial small subunit ribosomal RNA", at positions 212 to 706 of the family's 1533-position model. Lineage: Bacteria; Pseudomonadati; Myxococcota; Myxococcia; Myxococcales; Myxococcaceae. The record is from RNAcentral.
CUAUCANNNCAGAUGAGUCCGCGGCCCAUCAGCUAGUUGGCGGGGUAAUGGCCCACCAAGGCAACGACGGGUAGCUGGUCUGAGAGGACGAUCAGCCACACUGGAACUGAGACACGGUCCAGACUCCUACGGGAGGCAGCAGUGGGGAAUUUUGCGCAAUGGGCGAAAGCCUGACGCAGCAACGCCGCGUGUGUGAUGAAGGUCUUUGGAUUGUAAAGCACUUUCGACCGGGACGAAAACCCGUUGGCUAACAUCCAACGGCUUGACUGUACCGGGAGAAGAAGCACCGGCUAACUCUGUGCCAGCAGCCGCGGUAAUACAGAGGGUGCAAGCGUUGUUCGGAAUUAUUGGGCGUAAAGCGCGUGUAGGCGGCGUGACAAGUCGGGUGUGAAAGCCCUCAGCUCAACUGAGGAAGUGCGCCCGAAACUGUCGUGCUUGAGUGUCGGAGAGGGUGGCGGAAUUCCCCAAGUAGAGGUGAAAUUCGUANAUAUGGNGGNNGGAA